RNAcentral lists this ribosomal RNA (1251 nucleotides) under metagenome. RNAcentral describes it as "SSU rRNA". It matches the Rfam family "Eukaryotic small subunit ribosomal RNA", at positions 528 to 1800 of the family's 1831-position model. The record is from RNAcentral.
AAUCCUUUAACGAGGAUCAAUUGGAGGGCAAGUCUGGUGCCAGCAGCCGCGGUAAUUCCAGCUCCAAUAGCGUAUAUUAAAGUUGUUGCAGUUAAAAAGCUCGUAGUUGGAUCUCAGGAUUUGGAUGGAUGGUUCGCUUUCGGGCGCUACUAUCUGUCUGACCUACUCUAGUCGUGGAUGCCUUGGGUGCUCUUAAUUGAGUGCUUUUGGUGCCCGACGCAAUUACUUUGAAAAAAUUAGAGUGCUCAAAGCAGGCGUAUUGCCUGAAUAGUGUUGCAUGGAAUAAUGAAAUAGGAGUUUACUUCUAUUUUGUUGGUUUUCGGAGGUGAACUAAUGAUUAACAGGGACAGACGGGGGCAUUUGUAUGGAGGGGUUAGAGGUGAAAUUCUUGGAUCCUCUCCAGACAAACUACUGCGAAAGCAUUUGCCAGGAAUGUUUUCACUAAUCAAGAACGAAAGUCAGAGGUUCGAAGACGAUCAGAUACCGUCCUAGUUCUGACCAUAAAUGAUGCCAUCUAACAAUCCACGAAGUUUGCUUGUACGAACUCGUGGGCGGUCCCCGGGAAACCAAAGAUUUUGGGUUCCGGGGGAAGUAUGGUUGCAAAGCUGAAACUUAAAGGAAUUGACGGAAGGGCACCACCAGGAGUGGAGCCUGCGGCUUAAUUUGACUCAACACGGGAAACCUCACCCGGCCCGGACACUUUUAGGAUUGACAGAUUGAAGGCUCUUUCUUGAUCAAGUGGUUGGUGGUGCAUGGCCGUUCUUAGUUGGUGGAGCGAUUUGUCUGGUUAAUUCCGAUAACGAACGAGACUCUACUCUGCUAAAUAGAACGUUGAUAUAUAAAAGUCAGUGCUGACUUCUUAGAGAGACUAACGGCGUUUAGCCGUGUGAGAAAGAGCAAUAACAGGUCUGUGAUGCCCUUAGAUGUCCGGGGCCGCACGCGCGCUACACUGACUGCAGCAACUAGUAUGCUCCUGGUUUGAAAAAACUGGGUAACCUGGUUGAAUUGCAGGCGUGACAGGGAUCAGAGUUUGCAAUUAUCCUCUGUGAACGAGGAAUUCCCAGUAAGCGCAAGUCAUUAGCUUGUGCUGAUUACGUCCCUGCCCUUUGUACGCACCGCCCGUCGCUACUACCGAUUGAAUGGUUUAGUGAGGUCUUCGGAUUGGUGCUGAUGGAGUGGUUCUCUGCUCUGUUAGUGCCGAGAAGAUGAUCAAACUUGAUCAUUUAGAGGAAGUAAAAGUCGUAACAAGGU